GAUUAACGCUGGCGGCGUGCAUAACACAUGCAAGUCGAACGAUGAAACUUUAAUGAACCCUUCGGGGAGAAUUAAAGCGGAUUAGUGGCGAACGGGUGAGUAACGCGUGAGUAACCUGCCUUACACAAGGGGAUAGCCUUUGGAAACGAAGAAUAAUACCCUAUAAAACCAUAAAAGCACAUGCAAUUAUGGUCAAAGUGAUAGCGGUGUAAGAUGGACUUGCGUCUGAUUAGCUAGUUGGUGAGAUAAAAGCCCACCAAGGCAACGAUCAGUAGCCGGCUUGAGAGAGUGUACGGCCACAUUGGGACUGAGACACGGCCCAGACUCCCACGGGAGGGAGCAGUGGGGAAUUUUGCACAAUGGGGGAAACCCUGAUGCAGCGACGCCGCGUGAUUUAGAAGGCCUUCGGGUUGUAAAAAUCUUUUGUAUAGGAAGAAAAUGACAGUACUAUACGAAUAAGGUCCGGCUAAUUACGUG
This 477-nucleotide ribosomal RNA is filed under the name uncultured bacterium. RNAcentral's name for it is "partial 16S ribosomal RNA". It matches the Rfam family "Bacterial small subunit ribosomal RNA", at positions 28 to 507 of the family's 1533-position model. The record is from RNAcentral.